This 1132-nucleotide ribosomal RNA is filed under the name marine metagenome. RNAcentral describes it as "bacterial LSU rRNA". It matches the Rfam family "Bacterial large subunit ribosomal RNA", at positions 1084 to 2318 of the family's 2925-position model. The record is from RNAcentral.
CCAAAACAACCAGGAGGUUGGCUUAGAAGCAGCCAUCCUUUAAAGAAAGCGUAACAGCUCACUGGUCUAAACAAGGGUUCCUGCGGCGAAGAUGUAACGGGGCUAAAGAUAUGCACCGAAGCUUAGGGUUCAGAAUUUAUUCUGAGCGGUAGCGGAGCGUUCCGUAAGCGAGUGAAGGCGAAGGGUAACCGACGCUGGACGUAUCGGAAGUGCGAAUGCUGACAUGAGUAGCGACAAACAGGGUGAGAUGCCCUGUCGCCGAAAGACCAAGGGUUCCUGCGCAACGCUAAUCGGCGCAGGGUUAGCCGGCCCCUAAGACGAGCCCGAAGGGGGUAGUCGAUGGGAACCACGUAAAUAUUCGUGGGCCUGAAGAUGUGUGACGGAUCGUGGAAGUUGUUUUCUCUUAUUGGAUUGAGAGGGCAGCCAAGCGGUUCCAGGAAAUAGCCUCUUCACUAUAGACCGUACCCGAAACCGACACAGGUGGUCAGGUAGAGUAUACCAAGGCGCUUGAGAGAAGUAUCCUGAAGGAACUCGGCAAAUUGCCUCCGUACCUUCGGAAGAAGGAGGCCCCAUAUCGACGCAAGUCUUUGUGGGGGGCACAGGCCAGGGGGUAGCGACUGUUUAGCAAAAACACAGCACUCUGCUAAGUCGGCUUCAAGACGACGUAUAGGGUGUGACGCCUGCCCGGUGCUCGAAGGUUAAGAGGAGGAGUGCAAGCUCCGAAUUGAAGCCCGAGUAAACGGCGGCCGUAACUAUAACGGUCCUAAGGUAGCGAAAUUCCUUGUCGGGUAAGUUCCGACCUGCACGAAUGGCGUAACGACUUCCCCACUGUCUCCAGGAUAUGCUCAGCGAAAUUGAAUUCUCCGUGAAGAUGCGGAGUACCCGCGGUUAGACGGAAAGACCCCGUGCACCUUUACUGCAGCUUCAGAGUGGCAUUAGGAAAUUACUGUGUAGAAUAGGUGGGAGGCUUUGAAACAUCGGCGCCAGCUGGUGUGGAGCCAACCUGUGAAAUACCACCCUGUGAUUUUCUGAUGUCUAACCACGCACCGUUAUCCGGUGUUGGGACCCUCUGUGGCGGGUAGUUUGACUGGGGCGGUCGCCUCCUAAAGAGUAACGGAGGCGCGCGAUGGUA